AUGUCUGCAGUCUCCUCCGUUCCUGCCGCUGCUCCAGCUCCGUCUCCCGGCACCGCCGCUCCGGCAGCGCCGUUCCUGCCCGCCGCACCACCACCCACCCCAGCCCAGCCUACAAGCUCCCACCAGCAGCACGCCGCGAUCCAGCCACCGGCCCUCCUGCCUCCCGCUUCUCAGAAUACUGCAGUCCCACCGCCACCGGCAUCCAUGAUCGUCCCAUCACCCCCUCCCGCGGCCGCAGCCCCAGCCCCUGGUUCUGCAGUCCUGCCAUCUCCCGCUCUGCCCGAACCGCCCGCCACACGGACUGCUGCCAUUACAGCCUGCCGCGCUGACCUGAUGACGCAACCCACGCAUGCGCAAUUGCUGCAACACACGCAUGCGCAAUUGCUGCAACACACGCAUGCGCAAUUGCUGCAACUCCCAGAUCAGCGAUAUCACUCCGCUCACACUCCUCCAACCACAGCACCGCUCCCGGCACCAGCCGCACAUCUUCCCGCGACUCCGCCGCCUGCCUCCCUGACUCCGCCGCCGCUUCCCGGAGCCAACCCAAGCAGCACCAACUCACGCCCGCACCUCCUCGAACACCCAGCCGCGCUAUCGCCCUCUGUGCUCCCGGCACCGAAUGGGACUACUUUGUAUCACCAAUCGAUCGCACAGCUACAGCCAGGCACACAAGCCGUGCAACAAGGAGAGGGAGGGUGGAAUAUGACACCUGCUUUUAUAAAUACAGGACAGACUGAGAACUAUUCUGCCCCUGCAAAUGCCAACCCCUUAAUCCCAAUACAAAACAAUUCCGAAAAACAACUAAGUCUGUUCCCAAACAGCUCUGGUGUCCCCCCAGUGUUUGGGACAGACUUCUCAACUCAGAAAGAGACACUAAACCCUGAAGAUUCGCCUGCAUUAAUCCCAAAAGUAGAAAACUCCCAAAAAUGUUUCAAUAAUUUUCAAUUUACAGACUGGCAUGAAGUCAGACGCCAAAUUUGCAAAGAAGAAAAUCUAAAUCCUUUAGCUAUGCCUGUACUAUUCAGCCAGCAAGCUGGUGGUCCUAGAACAUGGCAAGCUAUCCCACACCAUGAGAUUAAAGAGUUGCGGAAAGCAAUAAAGGACAGUGGUAUCUGCUCUCCAUACUUUAAGCAACUGCUAAAAAGUACCCUAAAAGGAACACAUCAAACUUUAAAACGCAUUUUAAAUCAACAGAAAGGGGAAGAAGCCCAGGCUACACCUCAAAGAAGGUUGAAUAAAGCCUUGUAUGUUUAUAAUUUCUUGAAUAGCUCUGCAGAAGAGCCUGAUCCCCCCAUUUAUAGACAUUUCUUAAACAACAAAAAAGCAAAACUGAAAGAGCACCCCCCAGUUUUAAUUAAGAAUUUAGCGUCAGGAAAAAUAGAAAGACCUUAUGAUCUUAUAACGUGGGGAAAGGGAUUUGCAUGUCUCUCCACAGGUGAAGGAACCAAGUGGAUUCCAGCAAAGAACGUGAAGCUGUACCACGCAUCAAAGCCCACUGUCAGUUCCACUUCAGCCAGUGACCCCGCGAGUGGAAGCCGAGAAGCCGGCACUGAAAUGUGA
Molecule: long non-coding RNA, 1560 nt
Organism: Corvus moneduloides (New Caledonian crow)
Lineage: Eukaryota; Metazoa; Chordata; Aves; Passeriformes; Corvidae
Source: Ensembl